GUCCCCUUCGUCUAGAGGCACCAGGACACCGCCCCUUUCACGGCGGUAACAGGGGUUCGAAUCCCUAGGGGACGCCA
Molecule: transfer RNA, 77 nt
Filed under: Salmonella enterica subsp. enterica serovar California
Lineage: Bacteria; Pseudomonadati; Pseudomonadota; Gammaproteobacteria; Enterobacterales; Enterobacteriaceae
Description: tRNA-OTHER
Rfam family: tRNA
About the family: Transfer RNA (tRNA) molecules are approximately 80 nucleotides in length. Their secondary structure includes four short double-helical elements and three loops (D, anti-codon, and T loops). Further hydrogen bonds mediate the characteristic L-shaped molecular structure. tRNAs have two regions of fundamental functional importance: the anti-codon, which is responsible for specific mRNA codon recognition, and the 3' end, to which the tRNAs corresponding amino acid is attached (by aminoacyl-tRNA synthetases). tRNAs cope with the degeneracy of the genetic code in two manners: having more than one tRNA (with a specific anti-codon) for a particular amino acid; and 'wobble' base-pairing, i.e. permitting non-standard base-pairing at the 3rd anti-codon position.
Source: RNAcentral